RNAcentral lists this ribozyme (72 nucleotides) under Crocodylus porosus (Australian saltwater crocodile). Its description in RNAcentral is "Mammalian CPEB3 ribozyme (ENSCPRG00005012607.1)". It matches the Rfam family "Mammalian CPEB3 ribozyme". From Rfam's summary of the family: The mammalian CPEB3 ribozyme is a self cleaving RNA located in the second intron of the CPEB3 gene which belongs to a family of genes regulating messenger RNA polyadenylation. This ribozyme is highly conserved and found only in mammals. There is currently only one other known self cleaving ribozyme in mammals, the CoTC motif. Lineage: Eukaryota; Metazoa; Chordata; Crocodylia; Crocodylidae. The record is from Rfam by way of RNAcentral.
ACAAGUUUGAGCCCAUAGCAGAAGCACUCACAGUGUGGCCUGUCAGAUUCCAAAAAAUCUGUGGAUUCUGCU